RNAcentral lists this ribosomal RNA (1112 nucleotides) under Massilia sp. TA_JX. RNAcentral describes it as "bacterial SSU rRNA". It matches the Rfam family "Bacterial small subunit ribosomal RNA", at positions 242 to 1349 of the family's 1533-position model. The record is from RNAcentral. Lineage: Bacteria; Pseudomonadati; Pseudomonadota; Betaproteobacteria; Burkholderiales; Oxalobacteraceae.
UAGUUAGUUGGUAGGGUAAAGGCUUACCAAGGCUACGAUCAGUAGCUGGUCUGAGAGGACGACCAGCCACACUGGAAUUGAGACACGGUCCAGACUCCUACGGGAGGCAGCAGUGGGGAAUUUUGGACAAUGGGCGCAAGCCUGAUCCAGCAAUGCCGCGUGAGUGAAGAAGGCCUUCGGGUUGUAAAGCUCUUUUGUCAGGGAAGAAACGGUGGGAGCUAAUAUCUCUCACUAAUGACGGUACCUGAAGAAUAAGCACCGGCUAACUACGUGCCAGCAGCCGCGGUAAUACGUAGGGUGCAAGCGUUAAUCGGAAUUACUGGGCGUAAAGCGUGCGCAGGCGGUUUUGUAAGUCUGUCGUGAAAGCCCCGGGCUCAACCUGGGAAUUGCGAUGGAGACUGCAAGGCUUGAAUCUGGCAGAGGGGGGUAGAAUUCCACGUGUAGCAGUGAAAUGCGUAGAGAUGUGGAGGAACACCGAUGGCGAAGGCAGCCCCCUGGGUCAAGAUUGACGCUCAUGCACGAAAGCGUGGGGAGCAAACAGGAUUAGAUACCCUGGUAGUCCACGCCCUAAACGAUGUCUACUAGUUGUCGGGUUUUAAUUAACUUGGUAACGCAGCUAACGCGUGAAGUAGACCGCCUGGGGAGUACGGUCGCAAGAUUAAAACUCAAAGGAAUUGACGGGGACCCGCACAAGCGGUGGAUGAUGUGGAUUAAUUCGAUGCAACGCGAAAAACCUUACCUACCCUUGACAUGUACGGAAGCCACGAGAGAUCGAGGUGUGCUCGAAAGAGAACCGUAACACAGGUGCUGCAUGGCUGUCGUCAGCUCGUGUCGUGAGAUGUUGGGUUAAGUCCCGCAACGAGCGCAACCCUUGUCAUUAGUUGCUACAUUUAGUUGAGCACUCUAAUGAGACUGCCGGUGACAAACCGGAGGAAGGUGGGGAUGACGUCAAGUCCUCAUGGCCCUUAUGGGUAGGGCUUCACACGUCAUACAAUGGUACAUACAGAGGGCCGCCAACCCGCGAGGGGGAGCUAAUCCCAGAAAGUGUAUCGUAGUCCGGAUCGCAGUCUGCAACUCGACUGCGUGAAGUGGAAUCGCUAGUAAUCGCGGAU